RNAcentral lists this ribosomal RNA (253 nucleotides) under uncultured bacterium. Its description in RNAcentral is "partial 16S ribosomal RNA". It matches the Rfam family "Bacterial small subunit ribosomal RNA", at positions 524 to 776 of the family's 1533-position model. The record is from RNAcentral.
UACGAAGGGGGCUAGCGUUGUUCGGAAUUCCUGGGCGUAAAGCGCGCGCAGGCGGUCCUUCAAGUCAGAGGUGAAAGCCCAGAGCUCAACUCUGGAACGGCCUUUGAGACUAGAGGACUUGGGUACGGGAGAGGUGAGUGGAAUUCCGAGUGUAGAGGUGAAAUUCGUAGAUAUUCGGAAGAACACCAGUGGCGAAGGCGGCUCACUGGCCCGUUACCGACGCUCAGGCGCGACAGCGUGGGGAGCAAACAGG